GACGAACGCUGGCGGCGUGCUUAACACAUGCAAGUCGAACGGAAAGGCCCUGCUUUUGUGGGGUGCUCGAGUGGCGAACGGGGGAGUAACACGUGAGUAACCUGCCCUUGACUUUGGGAUAACUUCAGGAAACUGGGGCUAAUACCGGGUAGGAGCUCCUGCUGCAUGGGGGGGGUUGGAAAGUUUCGGCGGUUGGGGAUGUACUCGCGGCUUAUCAGCUUGUUGGUGGGGUAGUGGCUUACCAAGGCUUUGACGGGUAGCCGGCCUGAGAGGGUGACCGGCCACCUUGGGACUGCGAUACGGCCCAGACUGCUACGGGAGGCAGCAGUGGAGAAUAUUGCACAAUGGGCGGAAGCCUGAUGCAGCAGCGCCGCGUGCGGGAUGCCGGCCUUCGGGUUGUAAACCGCUUUCGCCUGUGACGAAGCGUGAGUGACGGUAAUGGGUAAAGAAGCACCGGCUAACUACGUG
Molecule: ribosomal RNA, 468 nt
Filed under: uncultured bacterium
Lineage: Bacteria
Description: partial 16S ribosomal RNA
Rfam family: Bacterial small subunit ribosomal RNA
Source: RNAcentral